This 756-nucleotide ribosomal RNA is filed under the name uncultured Mycoplasma sp. RNAcentral's name for it is "bacterial SSU rRNA". It matches the Rfam family "Bacterial small subunit ribosomal RNA", at positions 28 to 776 of the family's 1533-position model. The record is from RNAcentral. Lineage: Bacteria; Bacillati; Mycoplasmatota; Mollicutes; Mycoplasmatales; Mycoplasmataceae.
GAUGAACGCUCGCUGUGUGCCUAAUACAUGCAUGUUGAACGGGAUGUAGCAAUACAUUCAGUAGCGAAUGGGUGAGUAACACGUACCUAACCUACCUUUAAGACUGGGAUAACUAUUGGAAACAAUAGCUAAUACCGGAUAUAGUUAUUUAUCGCGUGAUGAGUAAUAGAAAGGAGCUUCACAGCUUCACUUAAAAAUGGGGGUGCGGAACAUUAGUUAGUUGGUAGGGUAAUGGCCUACCAAGACGAUGAUGUUUAGCCGGGCCGAGAGGCUGUACGGCCACACUGGGACUGAGAUACGGCCCAGACUCCUACGGGAGGCAGCAGUAAGGAAUUUUCCACAAUGAGCGAAAGCUUGAUGGAGCGACACAGCGUGCAGGAUGAAGUUCUUCGGAAUGUAAACUGCUGUUAUAAGGGAAGAAAAAAUAGAAUAGGAAAUGAUUUUAUCUUGACGGUACCUUAUUAGAAAGCGACGGCAAACUAUGUGCCAGCAGCUGCGGUAAUACAUAGGUCGCAAGCGUUAUCCGGAAUUAUUGGGCGUAAAGCGUCCGUAGGUUUUUUGCUAAGUCUGGAGUUAAAUGCUGAAGCUCAACUUCAGUCCGUUUUGGAUACUGGCAAAAUAGAAUUAUAAAGAGGUUAGCGGAAUUCCUAGUGAAGCGGUGGAAUGCGUAGAUAUUAGGAAGAACACCAAUAGGCGAAGGCAGCUAACUGGUUAUAUAUUGACACUAAAGGGACGAAAGCGUGGGGAGCAAACAGG